This is a long non-coding RNA of Melospiza melodia melodia, 3792 nucleotides long. RefSeq lists it as uncharacterized. The transcript has 5 exons. The record is from RefSeq and is a predicted model, not a curated record. NCBI's taxonomy places the organism in Eukaryota, Metazoa, Chordata, Aves, Passeriformes, Passerellidae.
CUUAGCUCCGCAGCACAACUCACUUCACAGAGAAUUGUGAAACACUGAACAGGUCAGCAAGGAAUAUGCAAUAAUUUUUUCCCAUAAGUUGCUAGGAAACACUAACAACUGGGUACUUAAGAAAGCAAAAGAAGUGGCCAAGCUCGGAGGAGGACAGCAUCUGGUUGCACUUCUCUUUUCUGGGAGCUUCUCUCCGAGGGUCAGAGAUACCGCAGGAAUUGGGCAGAGGUGUACUUCAGCUUUCGAAUGCAUCGUUUGAAAACAAGAGAUGGCAUGCACUGAAGCUGGGAAAAUACCUUGCUUCAUAAAUUGAGGGGAAAAUUUGGCCUUCAUAAUGGAAAAUUCAGAGUGAAGUCCAGACUCUACUAGAGUCAGUGGAAAAACUCCCAUUGACCUUACAGGGGUCAUGGGUCUGCUUUACUUUCUAAGCUGCCACUCAGAGAGAUGGUGAGGAGAAAGCACUCUUAGUCUGUCCAUCCUGAGCCAGGAAUUAAAGAGAAUUCUUGGAUGCAGAAGCUCUGGCUUGAAAUUCCAUCUGAACAACAUUCAGAGCCCUACUACAUAAUCUCCAGCUAUUUAAGAAGAUUUCCACAGCUGGCAUCUCUAUGUCUAUUAUUAUUUCUACAUAUUGAAGUUGGUCCUCGAAUCAAUACAGCAAUAAAAAACUACAGCUGUGCCUGUGGCUUCUCCUCUCCAACCAUAAGUUCUCCCCUUCUCCAACACCAGCAUUCUUGGGAGCUGAAGCAGCAGGGAUUGAAAACAUCCAUAGACAUUCCCCAUGUUGUUUUUUGACUCCUGGAGGCAAUGGAGUGGGCAGUGAGAGCUGCAAGAGGGGCAGUAGGUCAGUGAGUAAUGAGAGCUGCAAGUGGGGCAGUGAGCCAGUGGACAAUGGGCUGGAGAGACAGUUUCCUUGAGAACCUGGCCCAUAUGUAGGCUGCCUCAUGCUCACUAAUUUUCACCUGCCCUAGCCUAGCAGGUCAGAUUCAUACAGUCUGACAUGAGCAUGAGGGUGACAAAACCACCAUGUACUUGAUGGUCAAUCAUCAAGAAUGAAAUUCCUCAGUGUUUGCCCCCCAUUAGUGAUGGUCACUGCCUAUUAGCUGUCUUUUCUGUGUAUGAAGUUGCUAUUCAGGCAAAUAACUGAAGGUAAUAAAGCCUCAAACCAGCAGAGAGGUAAGGAAAAAUAAAACUGGGAAAAAAAAUUAAGGCUGGCCUUGCUGUGACAAAUAGUCACAAGAAUAAGUGAGCUUUAUUUUUGAAAUGUCUCUAUAAACAAAGACCCCCACACUCAAGCAUUUUUAUGACUUGCAGUUUGUUUUUGCUGUUGUGCACACUAAUAAGAUAUGACUGUACCUGAACUGCCCUAAUGUUAUAAAUUUCCUGGCUGCUGGAAAGCUGGUAAACACAGCUGUUAUAAUAACAGUGUCCUCAGCAGGCAGGACAGUGAGCCUAAGCUGAGCAGCAGUUUCUCUAUCAUCCCUACCUGGAGAAUAUCUGGGAACAGCAUGGAUUACACGCAUGAGCAACCUGAUCCUGGGCCAGGGAAUUCAAAAGAUAUGAGUCAUGUCAUCACACAAUUCAGCAGUGGGCAAGGUCAAAGAUAUCAGGAUGCACUAAAAUCAGGUGCCAAACAUGCGUAAGACGAUGUCAGUAUAUAAUUUCAAAUACAGAGUGCAGCCUGAAAUAAAUUUAUUUUUAUUAUAUGUUCCUUUUGGAAAAGUGCUCCUACAGUGGAGCUUUCAAAUUGGAAAUUGCAUCUAGCACAUUAUCUAUAGUUAUUUGGCCACCCUAGUGUUGCCCCAGAGAUUACCUGAAUGAAUAGGAGUGGAAGAAUUGAUGCUAACAAUAAUUUAUAGCUACAUUUUUGUCAGUAUGAAGAGAGAAAAAUAGCACAAGUAGCACAUUGCCCAUGAAAUUAGCCAUUUUGCAGUAAUGCUUUAGUUUAAAUGGUUUGGGAAUGGAUCUGUGAGGUUUUUGCCUUGGUGAUGUAUUGGGUUUUGGGGGUAUUUUGGUUUGAUUAAUCUUACAAACUGAAAGGUGUUCGUUUAUUACUCUUUAUUGGUUCUUGACUUAAGUGUUUUGGGUGCCAUGACCUUUUCACAAAAAAUUACAAGUGAGUGAAGCAACACCCUUUGUACUGACCCUUAUCAGACCUUGAAAUGUGAGGUUUCAAGAAGCUGCAGAGGUGGCCAGUGUAUGAAAUGUAUUUAGAUUAUUUUUCACAAAGCAUAUAUCAACAAGUCUUUCAUACAGUAUUAUCCUUCAGAAUUUUGAUUUAGGAAACAUCAGGUAAGCUUUAAGUUUUUAUUAUUCUCUCUUUUUUUUUCUGCUUCCUUGUUAUGAAGACACAGUUAAAUAAUAUUCAGGAUAAAUAAAAUAAAAUCAUUGUUUCUUCUCUUUUUCUAACUCCUACCAAAUGUCCAAGCUUUUAACCAUAAACUAACUUGUGAGCUCCUACUGCAAAACUGUGAGUGCCUGAAAUCAACCUCUUAGCUGAUAAGUUGGUGUAUAAACAUCUCAUGGGUUGAUAGGACAAAAGAGCUUUUAUUUGUGUGUGCUUUGUCUAGCCUGGGUGAGCAAACAAGGUUUUCUAAUGCUGGGUAGAGCACACUUAACAGUUCAUGAUCAACUUCUUAGAAAUGUUCCAAAUAGUUUAUUAAAUACUUAAUGUGUGGUAAAAUUCAAUUAUACACUGUUUCACUGGUAACUACCCUUGCUGGUAAAAACUGUGACUUAUUUUUCCAAUUUUUUCCCCCGACUUCAAGUUCCACAACGGGAUUUUUGUCUGCUUGUUUCUUAUCAGUACAUUUAUGAGUACUAUUUUAAAUUCGUGUUUCAGACACAGUGGUGUAUUGAAUAAAAGAAGCAGAAAACACCAAUACUGGUACAUAUUUCCUCUUUGGGUUACUUUAUCCCCCAUAUGAAGUAAUCACAUAAUUUCAUACAAUUAAUUCAUUUACAUCUUCUCAGUUUCCAAAAAUAGGUGUCCUCCACUUCUCACUUUAAAUGGUAGUUCUUAUUACAGCAAGAAGCUUGCUCUGAUCUUUCACUGCUUGAGCAUAGAUGAGUCCAGAAAAUUUUCUGACUAACUUGUCCAAUUUCCAAAUGGUGAAAGAAGGUACAAGCUAGUUGUUUUUAAAAAUAAACAGACCAAUAUUUAAAAAGCACUAAGAGUCUUUCCAUUCAAUAUGUUCCCGGAACAUCGUACUAUUUCCAAUUAUCCUGCUUUUCUUCAAGCCUAGAAACAACAAAUGAAAAACAGAUGUCACGUUCUAUUGAAGGCUACUGAUGGAAUGGUAGCUGCUCUUGCUUAUUGGAAACUGUUUUAGAGUUAUUUCCCUCUCUUUUAGUUACCAUGACAAUAUUUGGCCUAAUCCCAUGGGGUUUUUUCACAUCUAAGAACACUGUGUAGGCAAGUGGAAUUAUCGUUAAAAUUAAUCCUGUUCAGAACUGAUAAGGUCUUAACAGUGCUCUUGUUUUAAAUGUUGCAUUCUUACUAUCAUUCCUUCAGGAAAAGUUACAUGGAAAAUACAAAACUGUAACUGUCUUUGAUUAUAGUAAAUUGUUCUCUGAAUAUACUAGGUUGUGCCUCAUGUUGCUAUGAAAUAUCCUUUUUGUGUUGAUAAUAUUCCACUGUCCUACAAAAGGACGAAGUUACUCUGCCAGACUUACCUAUGAAUGUGUAAAGACCAGCUCCCAAAUUUAUCUGGAUAAUAAAAAAUUUAUUCAACGUAUCUUGUAUUUAAAAAACUCAAAAACAUUCUAGAUUUGGCUUCUUUAAAAAAAAACACC